Panthera uncia (snow leopard) is the source of this 481-nucleotide long non-coding RNA. RefSeq lists it as uncharacterized. The transcript has 3 exons. The record is from RefSeq and is a predicted model, not a curated record. NCBI's taxonomy places the organism in Eukaryota, Metazoa, Chordata, Mammalia, Carnivora, Felidae.
UGUGUGGGCCAUAUGUUGCCGUUUAAUAUCUCCCCAAUCAGCAAGAAAUUUCCUCAGAUUUUUCACAGGAUCCCUGAGGAACCAGAAAUAGACAGCAGGAGAAUCCAGUUUGAAUGAGAAACGUGUUUUUCAAAACAACCGUCAAGGAAUUUACAUCGUCAAACCCAUUUCAAAGAUGAGAGACAGUAAGGCAUGAAGAGAUCAACUGGCCGUCGCCUACAAUGUGUUGUUUCUUGUUUUGGAGGAAGCCAGUAUCCAGGUCGCAAAGACACUCAAGCAGCCCCACAGAGAGGCCCGCGUGGAGAGCACUGACCUGCCAGUCACGUGAGGGAGUCACGUUAGAAGUAAACCCUUCAGACCCAGCCAAGCCGUCAGACCGCUGCAGUGCAGCUGAUAUCUGGCUGUAACCUCGUGAGACAUCCUGAGCCAGAACAACCCAGCCAAGCCACUCCAGAAUUCCCAAGACGCAGAAACUGUGAGG